UACGUACGGGAGGCAGCAGUGAGGAAUAUUGGUCAAUGGGCGAGAGCCUGAACCAGCCAAGUCGCGUGAAGGAUGACUGUCUUAUGGAUUGUAAACUUCUUUUAUACGGGAAUAAAAAGAGGACGUGUCCUCUCUUGUAUGUACCUUCAGAAAAGGACCGGCUAAUUCCGUGCCAGCAGCCGCGGUAAUCGUA
This 193-nucleotide ribosomal RNA is filed under the name uncultured bacterium. RNAcentral's name for it is "partial 16S ribosomal RNA". It matches the Rfam family "Bacterial small subunit ribosomal RNA", at positions 337 to 529 of the family's 1533-position model. The record is from RNAcentral.